RNAcentral lists this ribosomal RNA (1255 nucleotides) under uncultured fungus. RNAcentral describes it as "eukaryotic LSU rRNA". The stretch from base 571 to 1255 matches the Rfam family "Eukaryotic large subunit ribosomal RNA", at positions 1 to 667 of the family's 3401-position model. The record is from RNAcentral. Lineage: Eukaryota; Fungi.
CUUGGUCAUUUAGAGGAAGUAAAAGUCGUAACAAGGUUUCCGUAGGUGAACCUGCGGAAGGAUCAUUAGAGGAAUUCUAAAAGGACGCUGGUCUUUGCUCAGUGUUUAGCAGCCUGAGCUAAAGGCGAGGUCCAAGAUUCUUUACUACACUUGUGAACUGGCCCUUUUUUAUUACACUCUGUAAAUGAAAAUUUGUAUGGUUAUCAUUGUUAUGAUCAAAUAUAAAUAACUUUCAGCAACGGAUCUCUUGGCUCUCGCAUCGAUGAAGAACGCAGCGAAUUGCGAUAAGUAAUGUGAAUUGCAGAACUCAGUGAAUCAUCGAAUUUUUGAACGCAUCUUGCGCCUUUUGGUAUUCCGAAAGGCACGCCUGUUUGAGUGUCAUGCACAUAUCAAUCUGUUAAAGAUUUUCGCAAGGAAGCCUUUGACUGAAUUGGAAUUUGAAGGCUUUGCUCAUUGAUUACAUGAUGAGCUCCUUUGAAAAGCAUGGAUGAUGUAUUCCAUUUUCACGGUUAAGUCGCAAGACAAAUGUGAUUAGGAAUCAAUUGACGGUAGCACGUCAAAGAUUGUACAAGACCUCAAAUCAGGUGGGAUUACCCGCUGAACUUAAGCAUAUCAAUAAGCGGAGGAAAAGAAACUAACAAGGAUUCCCUUAGUAACGGCGAGUGAAGCGGGAAGAGCUCAAAUUUGUAAUCUGGCGGUCUUGUGCCGUCCGAGUUGUAGCCUCGAGAAGCGUCUUCUGCGUUUUUGCAGUUUGUGAGUCUGUUGGAAUAUAGCGUCAGUGCGGGUGACAAUCCCGAAGACAAGCUGUUAUUAAUGCUCUAUGAUGCGCUUUCGAAGAGUCGAGUUGUUUGGGAAUGCAGCUCCAAGUGGGUGGUAAAUUCCAUCUAAAGCUAAAUACAGGCGAGAGACCGAUAGCAAACAAGUACCGUGAGGGAAAGAUGAAAAGCACUUUGGAAAGAGAGUUAAAAGUAUGUGAAAUUGCUGAAAGGGAAACGCUUCAGAUCAGCCUCGAUAGGCCGGUCUUCAACGUCUCAUUUUGAGGCGUGUACGGACUCGGUCAACGGGCCAGCAUCGGUUGGUUUCAGUCUAAAAGGGUAGAGGAAAGGUGGCAGUUUUUCGGAGCUGUGUUAUAGUCCUUUACUUGAUAGGUCUGGAUACCGACCGAGGGCAGUAGUGUGUCAAUGAAGUCCUUGGACUUUCAACACUUUGGAUGCUGGCAAAAUGGUCUGAAGCGACCCGUCUUGAAACACGGACC